This 491-nucleotide ribosomal RNA is filed under the name uncultured bacterium. RNAcentral's name for it is "partial 16S ribosomal RNA". It matches the Rfam family "Bacterial small subunit ribosomal RNA", at positions 29 to 506 of the family's 1533-position model. The record is from RNAcentral.
AGUGAACGCUGGCGGUAGGCCUAACACAUGCAAGUCGAACGGCAGCACAGUAAGAGCUUGCUCUUACGGGUGGCGAGUGGCGGACGGGUGAGGAAUACAUCGGAAUCUACUUUUUCGUGGGGGAUAACGUAGGGAAACUUACGCUAAUACCGCAUACGACCUACGGGUGAAAGCAGGGGAUCUUCGGACCUUGCGCGAUUGAAUGAGGCGAUGUCGGAUUAGCUAGUUGGCGGGGUAAAGGCCCACCAAGGCGACGAUCCGUAGCUGGUCUGAGAGGAUGAUCAGCCACACUGGAACUGAGACACGGUCCAGACUCCUACGGGAGGCAGCAGUGGGGAAUAUUGGACAAUGGGCGCAAGCCUGAUCCAGCCAUACCGCGUGGGUGAAGAAGGCCUUCGGGUUGUAAAGCCCUUUUGUUGGGAAAGAAAAGCAGCAGGUUAAUACCCCGCUGUUCUGACGGUACCCAAAGAAUAAGCACCGGCUAACUUCGU